Non-coding RNA from Ornithorhynchus anatinus (platypus), 137 nucleotides. The record is from Rfam. Lineage: Eukaryota; Metazoa; Chordata; Mammalia; Monotremata; Ornithorhynchidae.
CCCCUCUCAGGGUCACACCUGGAGAGUUUCCAGUACUCUACCGUACUUGACUAUGGGAGGGAGAGUCAAGCAGAGGCAACCCAUUCUAUUCCUAACUUGGGCAGUGGUUAGUGAGUGGAAGGCAAUCCGCUACAAGU